UUGAGUAUUUCAAAAAUCGAACGCAGCCGAGUCGCAACAUCGUCGCCGCGUGCUGUUUUUCAGUGUGUACGUUUUGAUUGCAAAAAGAAAUAAGCAAACGGAAGGCAGGCAACAACGAACGCUAAAACAUUUUUCAUCUGCGGCCUGGAAAAGCGCCCAAAGAAAAUGAAUAGAUAAAUUGUGUUAAUCGCCCCAUCGAGCCAGCAAAUAUUUACUGUAUAUUUUGUUUUUGUGCUUUUUUUUUGCGUUUGGGCAUUUCUUCUUUCGUUGUUAAUUGUGCAGCUGGCCCGCCUGCGAAUGAUAAAAAUGUCAUAGACGAGGUGCCCACCCCGCCCGCCAGCAAAGCGUCACCCCGCACAUCAUCCAGCCAUGACCAGCGGCAAUCGAUGAUUGCCAUUCCCUCAGCCAACGAGAGCCAAUAGAGGCAGCCGGAAAGGAGGUGGACGGAUCCGUCGGAAGAGUCCGUCGCCGUCGCCAUUCGAGCACAACCACCGAAGCCAGAGGGAGGGAAUUCCACCUUUGAAGGGACUUAAAGGACUACACACUUCACGCCGCCAACAUGCUGAUCAAGGAGUACCGAAUCCCCCUGCCACUCACCGUGGAGGAGUACCGCAUCGCCCAGCUCUACAUGAUAGCGAAAAAAAGUCGCGAGGAAAGUCAUGGCGAGGGCAGUGGCGUCGAAAUAAUCAUCAAUGAGCCAUAUAAAGACGGACCCGGCGGAAAUGGCCAAUACACCAAGAAGAUCUACCAUGUGGGCAAUCAUUUACCGGGCUGGAUUAAAAGUCUCUUGCCCAAGAGCGCUUUAACUGUGGAGGAGGAGGCGUGGAAUGCUUAUCCUUACACCAGAACCCGCUACACUUGCCCAUUUGUGGAGAAGUUCUCGCUGGACAUCGAGACGUACUAUUAUCCGGAUAAUGGCUAUCAGGAUAAUGUCUUCCAGUUGUCCGGCAGCGAUCUGCGUAAUCGCAUAGUUGAUGUGAUUGACAUCGUGAAGGAUCAGCUGUGGGGCGGCGACUACGUGAAGGAGGAGGACCCCAAGCACUUUGUGUCGGAUAAGACGGGCCGCGGACCCCUGGGCGAGGACUGGCUGGAGGAGUAUUGGCGCGAGGUGAAGGGCAAGAAGCAGCCGACGCCACGCAACAUGUCCCUGAUGACCGCCUACAAGAUUUGCCGCGUGGAGUUCCGCUACUGGGGCAUGCAGACCAAGCUGGAGAAGUUCAUCCACGACGUGGCGCUGCGCAAGAUGAUGCUGCGCGCCCAUCGGCAGGCGUGGGCGUGGCAGGAUGAAUGGCACGGCCUAACCAUCGAGGAUAUCCGCGAGCUGGAGCGACAAACGCAAUUGGCCCUGGCCAAAAAGAUGGGCGGCGGCGAGGAGUGCAGCGAUGAUAGCGUAUCGGAACCCUAUGUGAGCACGGCGGCCACAGCGGCCUCGACGACGGGCAGCGAGCGGAAGAAGUCCGCGCCCGCCGUACCGCCCAUCGUGACCCAACAGCCGCCGAGUGCGGAAGCCAGUUCGGAUGAGGAGGAGGGCGAGGAGGAGGACGACGACGAGGACGAGAACGAUGCCAUUGGCACGGGCGUUGAUCUCUCGGCCACCAACCAAGGUGGUUCCGCCCAGCGGUCGCGUUCCCAGAGCAUCCAGAUGGCCCAGAAGGCCAAGUUCGGGUCAAAGGGCGCCCUCCAUUCGCCGGUGGGAUCGGCCCACAGUUUCGAUCUUCAGUCCAAAAAGCCGCAUGCAAAGACAGCGCCACGCAGACAUGUGGCAAACUGGCGCAUGGAGCGGUUGGAAGUGGACUCCAAGUCCAACUCGGAUGAGGAAUUUUUCGAUUGUCUGGAUACCAAUGAAACAAACUCGCUGGCCAAGUGGAGUUCCCUGGAGCUGCUGGGCGAGGGCGACGACAGUCCACCGCCACAUGGCGGUCCCUCGAGUGCGGCCUCGGUGGGCGGUGGGCGUGGCAGUUCCCGGCAAGAGGACAGCAUCUUCAACCAGGACUUUCUGAUGCGCGUUGCCUCGGAGCGUGGCAAUAAGCGCCAGUUGCGCUCAUCGGCCAGCGUGGAUCGCAGUCACGACUCCUCGCCGCCGGGAUCACCGAGUACACCGUCGUGUCCGACCACCAUUUUGAUCCUGGUCGUCCAUGCGGGCAGUGUCCUGGAUGCGGCCAGUGAGCUGACGGCCAAGAAAUCGGAUGUGACCACUUUUCGCGGUUCUUUCGAGGCGGUGAUGCGACAGCAUUAUCCCAGCCUGCUCACCCAUGUGACCAUCAAGAUGGUGCCGUGUCCAUCGAUCUGCACCGACGCCCUGGGCAUCCUGUCCAGCCUGAGUCCGUACUCCUUCGAUGCAUCUCCCUCGGCGGCGGAUAUACCGAAUAUAGCCGAUGUUCCCAUUGGAGCGAUACCACUUCUGUCCGUCGCCUCGCCGGAAUUCCAUGAGACGGUGAACAAAACCGUUGCAGCUGCAAAUAUUGUCUACCACGAGUUCUUGAAAUCGGAGGAGGGACACGGAUUUUCCGGGCAGAUUGUCAUGCUGGGUGAUUCCAUGGGCUCGCUGCUCGCCUACGAGGCCUUGUGUCGCUCCAAUGGCAGUCAGCCGGGAACGGCAUCGGGUGCCUCGAAUUCCGGCGGAGAUGGUGGCGGUCCCAAUGCGAAUAUCAACACCCACAAUCCCCUGGGGCCACGGCAUUCGCGUUUGGAUGACGACGAGCGUUUCAUCGAAGCGGACUUGGAUGCCAAGCGAUUGCUGGUGGCUCCAUCGCCGAGGAGGCGACGCUCCAGUUCGUCGAGCGAUUCGCGGGCCAGCAAACUGGACUUUGAGGUGAGCGACUUCUUCAUGUUCGGAUCGCCGCUUUCGGUGGUCCUCGCCGCACGGAAGCUGCACGAUGCCAAGGCCGCUUUGGCGAGGCCCAACUGCCACCAGGUGUACAAUCUGUUCCAUCCAACCGAUCCGAUUGCCUCGCGACUGGAGCCGCUGCUCAGCGCCAGGUUCUCCAUUCUGGCACCGGUCAACGUUCCCCGGUACGCCAAGUAUCCGCUGGGCAACGGUCAGCCAUUGCAUUUAUUGGAGGUGAUUCAGUCGCAUCCGCAGCACUUUAACGAUGGCAACAACCUGUUGGCCGGUCGCCGUUUGUCGGACGCCUCGAUGCAGAGCACGAUAUCGGGUCUGAUUGAGAAUGUCUCGCUUAGUACGAUCCACGCCCUUCAAAACAAGUGGUGGGGAACCAAGCGACUGGACUACGCUCUGUAUUGCCCGGAGGGAUUGAGCAACUUUCCGGCCCACGCCUUGCCGCAUCUGUUCCACGCCAGCUACUGGGAGAGUCCGGAUGUGAUUGCCUUCAUACUGCGCCAGAUUGGCAAGUUCGAGGGCAUACCGUUUGUGGGCUCCAACGAUGACAAGGACAACGCCUCCUUCCAUCCGGGACAGCCGCGCGAGAAGUGGAUCAAGAAGCGCACCUCGGUGAAGCUGAAAAAUGUCGCCGCCAAUCAUCGGGCGAACGAUGUGAUCGUCCAGGAGGGCAGGGAGCAGCGAUUGAAUGCCCGAUUCAUGUAUGGCCCACUGGACAUGAUAACGCUCCAUGGCGAGAAGGUGGAUGUGCACAUUAUGAAGGAUCCGCCGGCGGGCGAAUGGACAUUCCUCAGCACCGAGGUGACCGACAAGAACGGACGCAUCUCGUACAGCAUCCCGGAUCAGGUGUCCCUCGGCUAUGGCAUCUAUCCGGUGAAGAUGGUCGUCCGGGGCGAUCACACCUCGGUGGAUUGCUAUAUGGCGGUGGUGCCGCCAUUGACCGAAUGCGUUGUCUUCAGCAUCGAUGGCUCCUUCACCGCCUCGAUGUCGGUGACGGGCAGGGAUCCCAAGGUGCGAGCGGGCGCCGUCGAUGUCUGCCGGCACUGGCAGGAGCUGGGCUACCUGCUCAUCUACAUCACCGGCCGACCCGAUAUGCAGCAACAGCGCGUCGUUUCCUGGCUGAGCCAGCACAAUUUCCCCCACGGCCUCAUCUCGUUCGCCGAUGGCCUGUCCACCGAUCCUCUCGGCCACAAGACGGCCUAUCUCAACAAUCUGGUGCAGAACCACGGAAUCUCAAUCACCGCCGCCUACGGCAGCAGCAAGGAUAUCAGUGUCUACACGAAUGUGGGCAUGCGCACCGAUCAGAUCUUCAUUGUGGGCAAGGUUGGCAAGAAGCUGCAGGCGAAUGCCACCGUCUUGAGCGAUGGCUAUGCCGCCCACUUGGCCGGUUUGCAGGCGGUGGGCGGUUCGCGUCCGGCGAAGGGAAAUGCCCGCAUGGUCAUCCCACGCGGAUGCUUCAAUCUUCCCGGACAGACGGCGAAUCCGCGGCGCAGAAGGCUGCAUGAACAAGCAACGAAUGAAAAUUAAAUUGCAACUUAAACGAAAAACAAUAAAUUGUUUAGAGCAAUUAAACUGCAAUGAAAAGCAUCUUGUAAACAGAUAGAAGCAAAAAAAACCUAAACAAUACAGACAAUUGGUGUUAGUUUUAGUGUCUUAGAAUAUUCCCUAUACUCCCCACACGUUUUUUGAGUUUUUACGUUAUAAGUAUUUUGAAGCAUACUUAGCUGAGCAUUUUAUUUAUUUAUUGAUUGAUUGGUGUUGUGAAGAUAAACAAAAAAAAAAAAAAUCAAAGUUUUUAGAAAUCACUGAAAAUACCCACCAUAUUAGAGGUGGGGAAAAUUCGAUACGAGUCGAGUCCACCUUUAAAACUCACUUAGAGCCAAAAUUCAACUCUUUUUCUCAACGAUAACUCUGUCUCUCUUUUUCCAAAAAAAAAAAAAAAAACAACAAAAAUUGCUUGAACAAUAAAAAAAACCAAAAACGAAUUACCCACACACACACAUACCACACACGCACACACUGCCAUCGACCUUGUUAUCGAUAAACAGCAACGAGACAGGACUCUCAUCACCCAUACGCAGUGGUUACCUGAAGCGCAAGACCUACCUGAGCCACCACUAGAUCAACCGAGAUGCAGCUAUAUAGAUCGAUCCGAUCAGAUCCAUCCGACAAAACGAAAGAUCCCCCAGAACCCAAUUUAGAAACCCCCUUCGAAAUAGCGAAAAGUAUAUAGCCAAAGGACAACAGCACCGAAGCCUCCAUAUGCCACAUCUGUGUAUAUACCAUAUAUAUAUAUUUAUAUACUAUGCGCGAUAUAUUGAAAGUUCAAUGGUGUAAUAUAUAUAUAUCAAAAACAAAAUAUGCAAAUGAGAAAAAAACAAUUGUACAACAUUUAACAAAAGUCAAAUGUGUCACGCGGUACCUGGAAAGAAAGACUGUUUCCUCCUGUUGUUUGAUGGUUUUUCAAACCACUUAAAGCAUUAAAAAACAUUGAAAACUACACGAAACAAAAGGCGAUCGUUAAGCGAUCUACUAAAUACAAUUACAAGAGAUAUAUACAAAGAUAUAUUCAAAAUAUAGAGAAGCGUUUAACAUAUGCAGGCGAACAAAGUUCAACAAACCGAGCAAGGUACAACAACGGAAGGACAAACCAAUGAAACCGAAGAUCUCCCGAUGACUAAGGAUACAACUAAGACAAGGACGAGGACAAGGACGAAGACGAGGAAAGCGUUGCAAAAUCAAAAGGCAAAUUUUAUGCAUUUCUUGACAAACAACCACUAAAAAACUCUUACGAAAAGUAUAAAUUAACGGCUUCCGUAAACCAAACAAAAAUCUACAAAUAUAUAUAUCUAUAUAUAUAUAUAUAUAUCUAUAUGUGUGCGUGUAAAAUUGACAAAAAAAAGAACAACGGGUUUUAGAAAAGAAACUUGAAAUUAAAAUCGUCAUGAAAAUGAAUACAAUCUCUUACCUGGCCCAGAAAUUUCAAAUCUCCAUAAUUGUGAUAGUCUUUCGCUACCAAAAGUUAAAUUAAAAAAUGAAAAAAAAACAGCAAAGUAUAUUUAUCUCUACUAAAAUUGUUAAUCGGAAAAUUUGAAUUCGAAGAAAGUUGAUGUUGAUGAUGUUGGAUAUUGUGUAAACGUAAAACCCGAUUUUGUGAUACCAAAAACUAAAACCGAAACCAAAGUUGAGUUCGAGAUUAGAUCAAGCCGAAAACUCCUCGUGUUAGAAGUCUAAACCAAAAACCAAAAACCAAAAAGAAAAAAAAAAACUCAAGGCGACCUGAAGAUGUAACGGGCAUGGAAUCUGACCCAUUAAAAACUAUAUAUAUAUAUAUACCACUAUGUAUGCAUAACCCAGUUAUGUGCUGUCCACACAAGUUAACUAAAAACUCUCUCACAACAAAUAAGCAAAAUAAAUCUCAGAUAUAAACCAGAUAAAACAGAAUUGAAGGUACAUACAUACAAAGGGACCUUAACGUGAAGCUAACUAUAUAGAGUAUGUAUUCAGUUCGAUCUGUUUAGCCGAAGUUGGUUAACCAUCGAGUAGUUGAGUUGCGAGAAUAAGAUAUUUCCUAAACUGCUAAAUUAACGCAAAUUGAAGUGUUUAAACCGAUAGUUGUAACGAGAGCAGAGUAAUUGUAUAUGUAAGGCCAAAGACUAUAGAAUAUCAAGAUGUUGCAUCCCAUACAAAAAAUUUUUCGUUUCUGUUUCGAGCUUCAUGAUGCGGUCGGUCGGGGUGAAAAGGGAAAAUCUAAAAAUAGAAACACGACGAACUGCUGCUUUCGGCUUUCGUCUUCGUUUUUAAUAUUCGUCGUGUUCCCAAAGUGGGAAUUUGAUCAUAGCUGACAAUUUUCAGUUUAUCGGGCUUUAUACACUUUACAAUAGUAGAAGGGUAUAUCAGACUUGUAAAGCAUUAAUAUUUUAUUUUCUUUAAUUUUCAUUUAAAUCAUAAUUUUUCGUUUAUAAUAAUUAAAUUAAAGAAUUCUUAGGUGCAAUAUUAAUAAUGUUCCUUAUUCAGAUAAUUGUGUCGUUAAAUUUUCACCCAUGCGAAUGUACAUACGCGUGUUAGGGUAUUUUGCUGCUCACCAUGAUACAAUUAUACAAGGUAGUCCACUCGGCUUGCCGAAGUCGUUCGGUUUUGGUCCCUUAUUUUCAGUGCGUCCCUGCUUGUCAAACUGAAGCACAAUGUAGCCGUUUCACUCACACUUACUUGACAAAGUUAAAUUAGGGGACUAUGGAUUUUGCCGAGUAGACUACCUUGUAUAAUUGUAUCAGGCUGUUCACCACUUGCAUGAACGCAAAAAAAAUUAUAAAAGCAAAAAAUUGAAAAAAAAUGUAAAAAUAAAAUAAUUAAUUAAUUUACACACAAAAAAAAAGAAAAAAAAACAAUUUAUGAUAUGGCUGGGGGCUCGGCGGGGAUACGAACCCGGGCCUUCAUGUACACGAGGCAUAGCAUCUACCACAACACCACCGGGCUUCAUGAAGCGCGGCGAACUAAUUGAGUAUAUGGUCUUAGCUGCCUUUAAAAGUGCAAAGUCAUGUGGGUCUCCAUAUCAAGACCCACCAUAGAACGAUUUUUUUGAGGUCAUGCAACAUCUUGAUAUUCUAUAGUCUUUGGUAAGGCUAUAUACCUACACUAUAUACUGUAUAUUUAUCUAGCGCAACUACAUUAAGGACUUUUGAAGCUAGCUAACUACAAAAGUGUUCCGAUAAAAGUAUUGUCCGGCUAUACGUUCCUCUUUCCUCCAUUUGAGUCGAUUUAAAAAAAUCUACGUUUAUUUUUUGUAGCGAGUAUUUGAAUAAAAAGUAAAAAGCGAUGGAAGAUCCACUAGAUUGUAAGAUGAUUCUGUCUACCCACGAAGAGUUUAUCCUAUAUAAGUACGUAGCAAGUUGGUUCCAGCAUGAGGAAUAAAAGUUUAAGGCAAGUCCUAGGAAAAAUCACACCAGAUACUCAUAGAGUCGAAGGGUUUAUAUCUGUCUAUUUAACUGGUAUAUUACAGCUUUUGGGCUAAAUGUUUACUUUAAUUAACUUUCCAGGAAAAAGAUUUAUUAGAGCUAAAUUACUUACUCAAAUUUUCCUUGUGUUUUUAAAUGUCCCAAAAGUCUUUAUGUUUGUUUCUUAAAUAUUCCUGGUUUAUUAUUAGUAGAACUGUCUUUCUUGCCUCUCCUUUAAUCCACCAAAAGAAGAACUCCCAAAGCCAAUAGAGCGCUAAGCUAAAUUGUAUUGAUAUUUUGAGAACCCACCAUUUAGAUAAUAAGCUAAUGCCCCCACAAACAAUGACGACGAUGACUAAUGCAGAGAGAAAAUAAUCAAAGAACAAAGUACUCCAAACAAUGGACAGGUUUAAGAACUAAAUGCAAUUGUUACGUGAAUAAGUGAAUAUAUGUCCGCAUGGUUAUAUAUUUUAAUUAUUAAGUGCAAAAGUCCAGGAACAACAAAUACGAAUUCAGAUUGUAAACAAUUAAAAGAAGAACGAGGCAAAGAAGCAAAGAAAAAAUAUAUAAAAUUAUUUAUUGACAACCAAAUCUACAAGCAGAAAAAGAACAAAAAAACGCGGAGCAAGCCAAAUGCAAUCUAUUUACAAAAACCUAAAAAGAAUAUAUGUAUGUGAAGCGAAGCAAGAAUGACAAGCAGAAGAGUUAAAGAUAGCUAACCCGAGAGAAAGGAAUAUAUAUACAAGCAUAUAUAAUAUAUAAACCUACCCAAAAAGAAAAGAUUUUUAAGCCAAUAGUUGCAAUUGGACUAUGACAAAUAACAAAAGUAAACAAAUUGAAAUAUGACAGUAAAGAAUAUUUUUCGAUGUAAGCUGUUUGUUAGAAAAAGAUCGAGUUUCAGCGAAUGAUAUGGCUAAAUCAGUUAAUCAUUUCAAGCAAAAUCGAAAACAAAGCGGUUCAUGAAAAGAUAAGAAAAAAUACAAAAAACAAAUGUUCUAUUUGAUGUUGCAAAUGAGAAAAAUAAAUAAAACAUGCUAUG
Drosophila ficusphila is the source of this 8812-nucleotide RNA transcript. It is a transcript of the gene named protein retinal degeneration B, with no coding region annotated. The record is from RefSeq and is a predicted model, not a curated record. NCBI's taxonomy places the organism in Eukaryota, Metazoa, Arthropoda, Insecta, Diptera, Drosophilidae. The transcript is spliced from 14 exons.